GGUGAACGCUGGCGGUAGACCUAACACAUGCAAGUCGAACGGCAGCACAGUAAGAGCUUGCUCUUACGGGUGGCGAGUGGCGGACGGGUGAGGAAUGCAUCGGAAUCUACUUUUUCGUGGGGGAUAACGUAGGGAAACUUACGCUAAUACCGCAUACGACCUACGGGUGAAAGCAGGGGAUCUUCGGACCUUGCGCGAUUGAAUGAGCCGAUGUCGGAUUAGCUAGUUGGCGGGGUAAAGGCCCACCAAGGCGACGAUCCGUAGCUGGUCUGAGAGGAUGAUCAGCCACACUGGAACUGAGACACGGUCCAGACUCCUACGGGAGGCAGCAGUGGGGAAUAUUGGACAAUGGGCGCAAGCCUGAUCCAGCCAUACCGCGUGGGUGAAGAAGGCCUUCGGGUUGUAAAGCCCUUUUGUUGGGAAAGAAAAGCAGCAGGUUAAUACCCCGCUGUUCUGACGGUACCCAAAGAAUAAGCACCGGCUAACUUCGUG
This 492-nucleotide ribosomal RNA is filed under the name uncultured bacterium. RNAcentral describes it as "partial 16S ribosomal RNA". It matches the Rfam family "Bacterial small subunit ribosomal RNA", at positions 28 to 507 of the family's 1533-position model. The record is from RNAcentral.